GAAUCCCGUCUUUGGCACGGAAACCCCAGGGCUUUUGUGAUGCGCUCUCGAAGAGUCGAGUUGUUUGGGAAUGCAGCUCAAAAUGGGUGGUGAACUCCAUCUAAAGCUAAAUAUUGGCGAGAGACCGAUAGCGAACAAGUACCGUGAGGGAAAGAUGAAAAGCACUUUGGAAAGAGAGUGAAACAGUACGUGAAAUUGUUGAAAGGGAAACGCUUGAAGUCAGUCGCGUCGACCGAGACUCAGCCUUGCCCUUGGCUUGGUGUGCUUCUCGGCUGACGGGUCAGCAUCAAUUUUGCCCCUUGGAUAAUGGCGAGGGAAAUGUGACACCUUUACGGUGUGUUAUAGUCUCUCGUCGCAUGCAAGGGUUGGGAUUGAGGAACUCAGCACGCACCUUUGGGUGUCGGGGUUUUGCCCACGAUACGUGCUUAGGAUGUUGGCGUAAUGGCUUUAAACGACCCGUCUUGAAACACGGACCAAGGAGUCUAACAUGCCUGCGAGUGUUCGGGUGGAAAACUCGUGCGCGCAAUGAAAGUGAAAGUUGGGACCUCUGUCGUGGAGGGCACCGACGCCCGGACCAGACCUUCUGUGACGGCUCUGCGGUAAAGCGUGUAUGUUAGGACCCGAAAGAUGGUGAACUAUGCCUGAAUAGGGUGAAGCCAGAGGAAACUCUGGUGGAGGCUCGUAGCGAUUCUGACGUGCAAAUCGAUCGUCAAAUUUGGGUAUAGGGGCGAAAGACUAAUCGAACCAUCUAGUAGCUGGUUCCUGCC
RNAcentral lists this ribosomal RNA (767 nucleotides) under uncultured Russula. Its description in RNAcentral is "partial 28S ribosomal RNA". It matches the Rfam family "Eukaryotic large subunit ribosomal RNA", at positions 216 to 962 of the family's 3401-position model. Lineage: Eukaryota; Fungi; Basidiomycota; Agaricomycetes; Russulales; Russulaceae. The record is from RNAcentral.